AACGCGAAGAACCUUACCUGGCCUUGACAUCCACGGAACUUUCCAGAGAUGGAUUGGUGCUUCGGGAACCGUGAGACAGGUGCUGCAUGGCUGUCGUCAGCUCGUGUCGUGAGAUGUUGGGUUAAGUCCCGCAACGAGCGCAACCCUUGUCCCUAGUUGCCAGCACGUAAUGGUGGGAACUCUAGGGAGACCGCCGGUGACAAACCGGAGGAAGGUGGGGAUGACGUCANGUCNUCAUGGCCCUUACGGCCAGGGCUACACACGUACUACAAUGGAAAGGACAGAGGGCUGCGANCCCGCGAGGGUGAGCCAAUCCCAGAAACCUUUUCUCAGUCCGGAUUGGAGUCUGC
RNAcentral lists this ribosomal RNA (350 nucleotides) under unidentified soil organism clone 17. RNAcentral's name for it is "bacterial SSU rRNA". It matches the Rfam family "Bacterial small subunit ribosomal RNA", at positions 958 to 1308 of the family's 1533-position model. The record is from RNAcentral.